Molecule: long non-coding RNA, 2634 nt
Filed under: Monomorium pharaonis (pharaoh ant)
Lineage: Eukaryota; Metazoa; Arthropoda; Insecta; Hymenoptera; Formicidae
Description: uncharacterized LOC118646462
Source: RNAcentral
AUCAGUGGCGAAGAUGAUGGUGAUUUAAGAGUGUCGUGCAGUGCUCGUGUGCAAUGGUAGAGGCAACCGUACGAGCGAUAGGCAUAGAGGACCGUAGAUGUACCAGCCAGGUGAGUUGGUUCUCGAAACUAUCACAGUCGCCGAGGGUUUAUAAUUCGUCGUAUAACCGAAUCUAUAAUUUCUCUCUCUAGCGUAAGUACAAUAAACAAUCGAUUGAUAUAAUAUUCAUUAUUUGAUAAAUUAUUACCAAAUGCGUGUGUUCUGAUUACUAUUGCGCAUGGUAGCUUUAAUUUCAAUCUGUCUGCCUCUCAUUUUGCUUGUAAUCGCGUACUGUUGUUAAACAGCUAUCGCAUCGUAAAAAUCUCUAGAUGAAAUUUCCACGAAAGGAAGAGUUUAAAAAGAGCAUUAAAGAUUAGCGCGUUAAUUAUCUAUUACUUGUCACACAGUCUAAUUUUACACCGUAAAGAUCAUUAAUUUGCAAAAGGAAUUGCAAACCUUUCUGGGCUUCGGUGAGCUUCCUUGUUCACGUAUUUAAUACCGUUCGAUCGAUUGCGAGGUCUUUUAUUUAAAGUGUUCCGCCACUCUCUAUCUCUUUAUUUUCCUGAUAAUUCCUCAUUAAUUCCGCUGAGGUUAUUCAUCUUUUAGUCUUCAUUUAUGCGAAAAGUUUGCACUACCUCUGAAUAUCAUUAUCCACAUAGCGCCCUUUUCUCUCGACUCCUCGGGCGAUUUGAUUCCAUUAUUGAAAAAGAACCGGUUCCAAAGGAAACUUCCUUGUAUAUUGUAAUCUAGCAAACUGUUCAGCAAGUGCAUAUAUAUAUGUGUGUGUGUGUGUGUGUAUUUUAUAUAACAAUAAUAAGAGCUUUUGCAAAAAUUCAAGUUUACCCAAUCAUAUAGCGUAUUUUGUUGUCGCAUGAAACCAUGUACUAGCGGAAUACGCUUGCUGUAAUAUGACAAUAUACGUGUAAAUUAAUCGAUCGCAGAUACUAAUACCUGCAAAUUUGCAUAAUCCGACACCCAAAUAACCAAGUAACCUAAUAUGCUGAUAAGCGUAAGCGGCAACCCCAAAAUUCUAUGCCCUGUAGUAAUAACACGUUGAAUGCUUAAACGCAUAUACGAAUACAUUAAUUAAAUGUUUAAUACAAAAAAGUUAAUUUUUUAAUUAUUUGUUAUAACUGAAUACGAAAGAAUACAAAUUUAAAAUGUUAAAUGACUUAAAAGAAUUAAUUGUUUAAUAUUGCAUCCGUUUAUUAUUUGCAAUUUAAAUAAUUUUGAAAUACAUUAAUCUCAUAUUGGCUCAAAAUUCUUUGACACUUAGUACUAUAAUGUUACGAAAUGAAAGAAACGAUUUUUUUUUAUUUAUUUUAAAUAUAGUUGAUUAUCGCGUUAAUGAAAUAUAAAACAGUUUUCAAUUAUCGUUGCGAAACAAAAGCGAGAACCAUUGAUUAUAUAAUGCGAAAUGUUAUCGCACGAGAUCAACUUGAGCGACAUGUCGAUGCUCCUUCGGUGUUCGAUCCGCUCUCAUCUUCGGCGCGAACAAAAUCUACCACCCCCUGAUUAUCCGUGAAAAUCUUCCACUCUCCCUCGCCGCUCGUUUCGCACCUACCCCUUUUCACCUUUACUCACCUCGGAUUAUCGAUUGCCCCGGGGCAUCGGUUCGUACAUGUGCAACGCACGUCGACACAAGCGCGCUUAAGGUAAUAGCUGUGAUUACGGAGGGAUGAUCCCAUCAGGGCUUACGAGACUUUUAACGAAACUUUUCGACCAUACGAAUUCCGGUAUGCCCGGAGGCGGCCGUACGUGCUAUAGAAACGUUAUUUCGGCCUUGUGACGUGACGCAACAAUAAAAUUACAAUUUAGUAAUAAAAUCACGAAUGUAAUAAACACUUUAUAGAUAAUGGCUCGCAGCGAAUGGUAAAAAUAAAUAACUUUUAAUAAAUUUUAUCGAUUCACUUUUCCAUUUCGUGCGUUUUACCAAUUUCGGUCAUUGAAAUUUGUAUUUAAUCAUUACGGUGGCGUUAGGAUUGUAUUCUCAUUUGCGUGCAAAUUUUGAUGAAAAAAGGAUAUGAUACAAUGAAAUUAUUUUACCGAACUCUUUUUCUAGAAUAAUGAAAUAUAAUUGUAUAAUUAACUAAAUAUAAUUUUUCACUUUACGUUAGUUAUAUUUAGUUAUUUAUAUUAUUUAAAAUUUUAUUUUAAAUUGUUUAUUUAUUGCGACAUUUAUUUCUUAGAAUUAAUGUUCAAAAAGAUUUUGAUAACGCCGAUUGUCAAUGACCAUUGUACUCUAUUGAAAAGUCAGGCGCGAUUACGGAACACAAAGCAAGUUAAAACAAACGGCUAAGAAGCAUUUGACUAAAAGCUCCGAACAGGUGUGAAAUCUGGCGGAAGCACGAGCAAUUGCACGACUGACGCGGAGGCGUUGUAAAGCGCAUACCGCGAUCCAUCACUCAUUAAGCGCAGCUGCGCUCACCAAUUUCCAUUGUCGUUGCACCUGCUCGUGCAUGUUUCGCAAAUAUGUCGACGCGUGUUUUCCAUCGUGUUGUUGGGACCAUCGCGGAAAACUCCGGGAAAUUCUAAAAAGAUACUCGGAAAGUCGAUUCAUUUUCGCGGCGAAAAGAAAAUAAAUAAAUGAAAAAA